UUCCAACGGGGCGCAGCAGUGAGGAAUAUUGGUCAAUGGUCGGGAGACUGAACCAGCCAAGCCGCGUGAGGGAUGAAGGUACAGAGUAUCGUAAACCUCUUUUGUCAGGGAACAAAGGCGGGGACGUGUCCCCGGAUGAGUGUACCUGAAGAAAAAGCAUCGGCUAACUCCGUGCCAGCAGCCGCGGUAAUACGGAGGAUGCGAGCGUUAUCCGGAUUUAUUGGGUUUAAAGGUGGCGUAGUCGGUCCGUUACGUCAGCGGUAAAAUUGCGGGUCUCAACCCC
Molecule: ribosomal RNA, 283 nt
Filed under: uncultured bacterium
Lineage: Bacteria
Description: partial 16S ribosomal RNA
Rfam family: Bacterial small subunit ribosomal RNA
Source: RNAcentral